AGUAUUGAGUUGGAGAUCAACAUAACAAUUGCGCAAACUUGAUAAAAUUAGUAACCAUACUAUGGCUAUAAAUACCAUGGUUAUUUACAAUAGAUUCACUACUCAGUUAUCUGUCUGAUUUGCAAGUACUCACAUCGUUAGUUCAUACCUAGAAAAAAAACUAAAAUGACCAAAUUUACUUUGUUGUUAUCAAUUAUUUUAUUUAUUGGCUUCUAUGCUAGUGCAGUUGAAGCAAAUUGCGAAGGGCAUUGGUUUUCUUGAUUUUUCAGUUUGAAGACCUGCAAGUUUUCAAAUUUUGAAUUUACGAAUUCGCGUCUUAGGACGUUAUUUGUAGGCAAGCAUGACAUUACGAAAAUUUACCAAAUUUUGAGUUUCGACGAACUUGGGGCAAAUCGAGGGGCCUCGCUAAGCGAUAUCGUGGUUUCACGCAAUAGUACGCACCCUAAAACACAUGAGAAAUCACCACUUUUUAUGCCCUGUUCGAAAUAAAAAUUAUUGGUAAUGGUUGACAGCAUGACAUCACGAAAAUUUGUGGAUUUUGAGUUUAGACGAUUUUGGAGCAAAUCGAGGGGAGAUAUUUAAUACAGAAUUCGAGAAAUGAAUCAAUGUACUGAAGAAGUCUGCCUGCAAUUCAGAGAAUUGUGAUUGACUCAAAGUAGUCAUAUAAUAUCCUAAUUUCAAGAAUUUUGAACCCGAUCCAAAAAUCAUUUCACAACAGUUGAAUUCGAUUAUACUGAAAAUAUAAUAAAUAUAGUGCUUAAUUUAGUAUAAAAAAUAUAUUGUGUUUUUUUUUUUUUAUUUUUUCAAUUAAUAAUUAUCAACUUCCAAUAAAUUACUGAAAAAAAUUAUUUCGUUAGCAAUGAUUAUUAUUUAUGGGACUUUGUGAGUUAUUCAUUUAGCGAUUAGCAUUUAAUUGUUCAAUAUCAAAACAUAUAACCUUCAAUCAAGUUUGUUAUUAAACGUUGACGAAAAGUAAAAAAUAUUUUAUUCCAUGUAUAUUACUCACAAAAAUCUUAUUUUUUCUAAGCCAUGUUAAUCUGUUCUUACACCGAAAGAAAUAAAUAUUUGUCUCGCACAAAUCAAUUUAUUUGUGGACUUGUUCAAAAUAUUUCUUGAUAACAAAUACAUUUGAUACAUCUAUAAAAAUGACAGUAGAUUGAAUAAUUUUAUAAUUUCACUGAAAUAUAUCAUAUAUUUGUAGUAACGAUUCAAGAAUUUUUUUUUUUAACGAUUCGGAAAAUCAAAAAUAUCUUCCACCAAGUAAAUAAUUAUCGUGAAAUUUUCAUCUUAAAUCAAAAUAUUUUUUCUCAAAUCGACCUUAUUUUUUUUUAAUCUUAUUAAAAUUAUAAAAGUCACAAGUUCAAGAUUUAUCGUCGAGGGCAUUGUACCGUAAUUUCUGUUUUUUAAGUGCUGAAGUAGAGAUUAAAAUAACAAUUGCGCAAACUCAAAAAAAAAAAAUUUUCAAAUGGAAAUAUUUGAAAUAAAAUUAACUUCAAUAAACAUACUUCGUUUUCUUAAAAAUUCUCUUGACUGAAGAUAAUUCUCUUCGAAUCACGAUAACCUUUUGUUUAGCAUAAUAUAUUUAUUUAGUUCAUAUCAUGAUUAAUAAAUAGUUAAGGCUAGCGUAAAGCUAUAGUUAUGGGCUUCAUACAUAUACAGCUAUGGGAAUCUAUCGGUUUUGUUUCUUAAGUGGGACAGUCAAGUACCCGGUAUGUUUUGGAUAGUUUUUCGGUAUAAACGAAUUCGAUAUAUAGGAAAGCAAUCUCUGAUCACUACAUAAAAUUACACUUGAAAAUUUCCGGUAAUUACGUCACAGUAGAUUUAUAAAAGUCACUAGUUCAAGGGUCACUGUAAAGGAAUAUGUAACGUAAUUUUUGUUUGUUAAGCAAAGAGUUAGAGAUCAGGGUAACAAAUUUGCAAACUUGAUAAAAUAAGUAACAACACUAUGACUAUAAAUAUCGCAAUUAUUCACAAUAAAUUUAAUACUCAGUUAUCGGUCUGACUUGCAAGUACUCGCAUCAUUAGUUUAUACAUAGAAAAAAAAUUACAAUGACCAAAUUUACUAUGUUGUUAUCAAUUAUUUUAUUUAUUGGCUUCUAUACUAGUGCAGUUGAAGCAUGCAUUGGGAAAUGGUGUCAUCCUUAUCAAGGCUAUAAAUGCUGUAAUAAAGAUUACAUUUGUACUUCACACUUCUUUCAAGGCACGUGCGCACCCGCAAGCGAUUGGGGCUAAGAAGUAAAGGAAUUAAAUAUAAUAAAAUAUUGUUGAAAAAUCCGAAAGUUCAAACCUACAACACUCAUUUUUUAUAUUGAAUAAUAAAUUUACUUUUAUUAAUUUUAAAACUAUGGACUCCUUCCCCGAUUCAAGAAGAUAAAUUGAGAUAAUUUUCAAUGUUAAAUUUCCAUAAAAGAUAUGAUUUAAAAAUUAUUUGAAUUAUUUUAAAUAAUUCGAGUUCAAAUCAUUUCAAGUCAUUUCAAAGCAGUUUUCUUAAUCAGAAUUAUGAAAAAGCUAAAAUAAAUACUACCAGUUUAGAGAAAAAAAAAAUUUUUUCAACCGAAGUUUAUUAUUUUAACAACUUAAAAUAAUUAUAAACUUUUUUUUAAUAUUCAACUUUUUACCGCUUUUUUUCCUUUUACACUGAAUGUAUAUGAACAAUAGUAUUUUGUGUGACAAGGGAUGAAACAAAACGAUUUCAGACCAGGGUGAAGUUGGCUGACAUCACCCGCUGUCAGAAAUCGUGUUUCAUCCUGAGUUACACACAAUAUCGGUGUCUGUAGUCAGUACCCGAGUAAAAACAGAAUUCCGCCGCACCACCGCCGCAACACCGCUGCACGGCUUUUUAAGCGCCGCACCAUCGCUGCACUACAGCCGUGACAAUUCCGAUUAUUUUAUAAAUGCCGCACCACCGCCGUGACAACUAAAGAAUUUUUCUAUUCGCUGCACCACCGCCGCACCACCGCCGUGACGACUAAAGAUUUAUCUAUUCGCUGCACCACCGCCGCACCACCACCGUGACAACCCGAGUAAAAAUGAAAUAAUUAUUUUUACGAAAAAAUUAUAAAUUUUUAUCGACCGCCGCAUCACCGCUGCACCACUACCGCACCAUACCGCCGCACCAUAGCUGUGAUAUUUUGUUGUAAAUUAUUUUUGAUUAGUGAUUUAAAAGUGGUAUAUCCUUUUCAAUCUCAUAUAGCACAAGUAAACUUAGUAGUCACUGUCAGUAGCGUAGCCUAGUCGUUAAAGCGUCGGUCUUUCGUGCGUAAGGUCCCGGGUUCGAAUCCUACUAAAUCGUGUGCGUUUGGUUGAUAUUCAUAGCGUUUUUUCCCUAAAUUAAAAAUUUCUACUCGGUUAGAAAUUAAUUUCAUCACAAAUCUAAUUGAUUUCCACAUCAUUAAAGAAAAAAAAAAACUACUAAAAUUGAGUAAGUCUUUUUUUUUUAAUUUAAUUGAAAUUUCUAUACAUGGCUAUGUAUAUAUUGAAAAUUGUAAUGUAUGGCCGUAUAUAAUUCACUUUUACCGGACAAUUAAAUUUCUCUCACCAUAAACCGGGCAAAUUAAUUAAUUAAUCAUAAGAUAUUUUCGCGUGCAGCGGUUGUGCAGCGGCGGUGCGGCGGUGCUGGCAGAAUAUAUUUUCAGCGUGCGGCGGAAUAGUCCGCCAAACGGCGGUGGUGCGGCGGUAUGGUGCGGUAGUGGUGCAGCGGUGGUGCGGCGGUCGAUAAAAAUUUAUAAUUUUUUCGUAAAAAUAAUAAUUUCAUUUUUACUCGGUACUGAGUUAGAGAUCAAAGUAACGAUUGUGCAAACUUGAUAAAAUAAAUAACAACACUAUGAAUAUAACUAUCACGUCUAUUUACAAUAAAUUCAAUACUCAGUUAUCUGUCUGACUUGCAAGUACUCGCAUCAUUAGUUCAUACUGCAUUCAUCAAAUUUCAUUAGAAACAAUCCUACGAAUUUCGAGCUCAAUGUUGUUAAUCAUAAGGGAUUUUAUUGUUAUAAUAUUUACUGAACUGUAAUCUAUCAAUACUCUAUUUCUUUUUUCUUGGAAAACGAAAGAAUUAUGUUCAACUUAAGAUAAUAUUUGAGGCGUAAAGCUCUGAAAUAUACCGAUAAAUUUCAGACAAAUAAUUCUCUUGAGUAAAAUGUAAGCGUGAUGUUUCUAUUAUUAAUCAUAGGUAAUUGAAUGAGAAGUUGGUAUGUAUACAGAUCUGGUGAAGACAGCACCAUUUUUCUCACUCUCUUUCAAGCAACGACUCAGGAGAAAUACCUUAAAAAAAAACACUAAUAUGCUGCGAAAAAAAACUCUGUUUUUCUUUUUUUGUUAAAGUCAAUGAUCUUCUACAAGUUAAUAGAGUUCCUUCUUAUAAACUAUCAUAGCAAAAAAAAAAUGUAUUGAUAUUGUUAAAAUUUUUGACCAAUUAAUUAUUAAAAAUAACGAGUCACUAAAAUGAUGUAAAGUUUCUUUUCAUCUGUAAACAAAAGUUUGGAUUCUCUAUAUUAUUAUUAUUUAAUAAUAGUACGCAUGAUAUUCAGAAUAACUACAUAAUUUAUUAUGAAUCUAAUGAUCUAGAUCAAUGAUGUGAAGAAUAAUUUAAUUAAUCUUUACUAAAGCUCAGCAUAAUGUGUAUGAAUAUAACGUAUGAUAAUUAAAAAGAAUUAAUCUUAUUUUUUAAUCUGACAUUCAAUACAACCCUUAAAGUGUCCGUGAAGAAAAAUGACAUACUACACUGAGAGAAAAAAUAACUUUUAGAAAUAUUGUACUUUCUUCAUUGAUAAAAUAUAUACACAGAAAAAAAGGUUGACUUGGCCCAAGAUAAUUUUUGCCUUCAUUUUUUUAUUCUUGGGCUGAGUAAUUGGGUUUUUUUAAUCCGAGAACAUUUUCUUCGACUAAUAUUAUAAAAAUAUUGUGUCAAGAAUAAAUAAAUUUUAAUUCAAGUUAAAUAAUCUUGAUUCAAGAAUAAUUAUUUUAAAUCAAAUUUAUUUUGUUUCCAACCAAGUAUAAAAAACUAUCAAAACAAGAUACUUUUCUGUCUUAGGUGGUGAGUAUAGUAAAUUGUCACAAUAUAUAUCAACAUCUCAAACCAAGAACUUUUUUUGCGUGGCAGAAGAACAUUUACUCUCAGUUUGAGAAAACUACAUUAUCGACUCAAGACAACGGUCUAUUGUAAUGAGAAAAUUUUAAUUUUGAUUUAAAUAAAUUAUAAUCUUAACUCAAUAAAAUAACUUUUCUUGAAUCAUGCAAAUAUUUACUUCACGGAAGACAUAAAAUUCUCCCAUUGAUGAUUUUUUUUCUUGACUUAAAAGAAAUGUAGUCUCGAUUCAAGAAAAUAAAUGACUCUACUUGAAAAAAUAUAUCGUCCUAUAUUUUUGAGUGAAUUCAACCUAGUAUAAAUAUUAAAUGUUGUAAAGCAGGAAAUUAUAUGUGUAUAUUUAGAAUAUCACGAUACAGCAGUAGAGGGGAUAAGAAAUAAACAUCCUCGAUUAAUGGUUUAUGAACAACUUAAGAAAAAAUAAAUGGUUUGCUCAUGGUAGGAAUCGAACCCAGACCGAUUCGGCAUCACGCGAGAGCUUUACCAGUUAUGCUAUCCGAUCAUUCCCUGAACGUUCAUUUACUUUACCUAUAUCCAGUAAGCACACUGUACUAUGUAGAGUCUACAUUACCGCCACUUUAGUAUAGUACAGUUAGCUUUCCCAAGAGAAAAAAAGCGUUGGGCCGUGAACGCAGUUGCUGUUGGUUCAAACGUCUACGCUUACUUGCCGCAACACAACAAAAUACGUGAACCAAGAUAUUUCUUACCAUUGAGUCGAGUAUUUUUAAUUCUUGACUCGAGUCACAAAUUAUCUCGACUCAAAAUAUAUUAUUCUCAAACAAAGAAUAUUUUACUUUUCGGACAAUUGAUUAUAUAUUGAGGCAAAAUAUUUAUUUUUCUCACUUUAAGAAAAUAUUUCUUACUUCAAGAAACAUAUAUUAUAUCGGUUGAAUAAAAAAAAAAUCUUAUGCCAAGAUGACUAAAUUUAAGAAAAUUUUGUUCUUGAACCAAGAAAAUUUUCGUUUUCAUUCAAAAUUGCAAAAAAUAUUCUUGUGGCAAGAACAAAUUUCUUGCGCCAAGAUAUCCUUUUUUUCUGUGUAUAUUUAAUUAAUAUUAAUAAAUGUAUUUAUUUGAAACAGUUUUUCAGCAUUAUUUAGCUGAAAUAAGUAUUUGUUUGCCUUAAAUAUAGAUUUAUUAAUAGUUAAUAAAUCUAAUAUUUGAGUGAAGAUCGCUGCGAUAUUUGACUACCAUGCCACUUUAUGUUCAUAACCUUAAAUGGAAUGAGUGUGAUCGUUAGUAGAGAUUUAUUAAAAUAUUUCAUUUCUUUACAUAUUUUGUAUAAUAGUGUUUAUCCUCAAUUCAAAUUAAUUGUGUGUAUUAUUUU
This is a long non-coding RNA of Microplitis mediator, 6407 nucleotides long. RefSeq lists it as uncharacterized. The record is from RefSeq and is a predicted model, not a curated record. Lineage: Eukaryota; Metazoa; Arthropoda; Insecta; Hymenoptera; Braconidae. The transcript is spliced from 8 exons.